GGUUGACCUCGGAUCAGGUAGGGAUACCCGCUGAACUUAAGCAUAUCAAUAAGCGGAGGAAAAGAAACCAACAGGGAUUGCCUCAGUAACGGCGAGUGAAGCGGCAAGAGCUCAAAUUUGAAAGCUGGCUCCUUCGGGGUCCGCAUUGUAAUUUGCAGAGGAUGCUUCGGGCAUGGCCCCCGUCUAAGUGCCCUGGAAGGGGCCGUCAUAGAGGGUGAGAAUCCCGUCUGGGACGGGGUGUCCGUGUCCGUGUGAAGCUCCUUCGACGAGUCGAGUUGUUUGGGAAUGCAGCUCUAAAUGGGUGGUAAAUUUCAUCUAAAGCUAAAUACUGGCCGGAGACCGAUAGCGCACAAGUAGAGUGAUCGAAAGAUGAAAAGCACUUUGAAAAGAGAGUUAAACAGCACGUGAAAUUGUUGAAAGGGAAGCGUUUGCGACCAGACUCGCUCGCGGGGUUCAGCCGGCAUUCGUGCCGGUGUACUUCCCCGUGGGCGGGCCAGCGUCGGUUUGGGCGGCCGGUCAAAGGCCUCCGGAAUGUAUCACCUCUCGGGGUGUCUUAUAGCCGGGGGUGCAAUGCGGCCUGCCUGGACCGAGGAACGCGCUUCGGCUCGGACGCUGGCGUAAUGGUCGUAAAUGACC
RNAcentral lists this ribosomal RNA (636 nucleotides) under Aspergillus clavatus. Its description in RNAcentral is "eukaryotic LSU rRNA". It matches the Rfam family "Eukaryotic large subunit ribosomal RNA", at positions 1 to 649 of the family's 3401-position model. Lineage: Eukaryota; Fungi; Ascomycota; Eurotiomycetes; Eurotiales; Aspergillaceae. The record is from RNAcentral.